CCUGCCCAGCAGAAGGACCGGCGAAC
RNAcentral lists this ribosomal RNA (26 nucleotides) under Ficus microcarpa (Chinese banyan). Its description in RNAcentral is "partial 18S ribosomal RNA". The record is from RNAcentral. RNAcentral also lists the same sequence under 7 other names. Lineage: Eukaryota; Viridiplantae; Streptophyta; Magnoliopsida; Rosales; Moraceae.